RNAcentral lists this ribosomal RNA (253 nucleotides) under uncultured bacterium. Its description in RNAcentral is "partial 16S ribosomal RNA". It matches the Rfam family "Bacterial small subunit ribosomal RNA", at positions 524 to 776 of the family's 1533-position model. The record is from RNAcentral.
GACAGAGGGGGCGAGCGUUAAUCGGAAUUACUGGGCGUAAAGCGUGCGCAGGCGGUCUGCUAAGACAGGUGUGAAAUCCCUGGGCUCAACCUAGGAAUUGCGCUUGUGACUGGCAGGCUAGAGUACGGUAGAGGGGGGUGGAAUUCCUGGUGUAGCAGUGAAAUGCGUAGAGAUCAGGAGGAACACCGAUGGCGAAGGCAGCCCCCUGGGCCUGUACUGACGCUCAGGCACGAAAGCGUGGGGAGCAAACAGG